RNAcentral lists this transfer RNA (76 nucleotides) under Acidobacteriota bacterium. Its description in RNAcentral is "Acidobacteria bacterium (anaerobic digester metagenome) tRNA-Ala". It matches the Rfam family "tRNA". From Rfam's summary of the family: Transfer RNA (tRNA) molecules are approximately 80 nucleotides in length. Lineage: Bacteria; Pseudomonadati; Acidobacteriota. The record is from RNAcentral.
GGGGCAAUAGCUCAGUUGGAAGAGCGCGGCGUUCGCAAUGCCGAGGUCGGGGGUUCGAGACCCCCUUGCUCCACCA